GACGAACGCUGGCGGCGUGCUUAACACAUGCAAGUCGAACGAAGAGCGAUGGAAGCUUGCUUCUAUCAAUCUUAGUGGCGAACGGGUGAGUAACGCGUAAUCAACCUGCCCUUCAGAGGGGGACAACAGUUGGAAACGACUGCUAAUACCGCAUACGAUCUAAUCUCGGCAUCGAGGAAAGAUGAAAGGUGGCCUCUAUGUAUAAGCUAUCACUGAAAGAGGGGAUUGCGUCUGAUUAGCUAGUUGGAGGGGUAACGGCCCACCAAGGCGAUGAUCAGUAGCCGGUCUGAGAGGAUGAACGGCCACAUUGGGACUGAGACACGGCCCAGACUCCUACGGGAGGCAGCAGUAGGGAAUCUUCCGCAAUGGACGAAAGUCUGACGGAGCAACGCCGCGUGAGUGAUGACGGCCUUCGGGUUGUAAAGCUCUGUUAAUCGGGACGAAAGGCCUUCUUGCGAAU
RNAcentral lists this ribosomal RNA (460 nucleotides) under Veillonella dispar. Its description in RNAcentral is "bacterial SSU rRNA". It matches the Rfam family "Bacterial small subunit ribosomal RNA", at positions 28 to 465 of the family's 1533-position model. Lineage: Bacteria; Bacillati; Bacillota; Negativicutes; Veillonellales; Veillonellaceae. The record is from RNAcentral.